Caenorhabditis elegans is the source of this 144-nucleotide non-coding RNA. NCBI's taxonomy places the organism in Eukaryota, Metazoa, Nematoda, Chromadorea, Rhabditida, Rhabditidae. The record is from Ensembl.
CAUCACCUGCCACCGCGGCUCUGUUAGCCGGUUAAGGCGGAUUACGCAACUCGAUGUCUUUGUAGACAGCCCGCGCGCAACAUGAUAAUUAUGUUCUGGACCGUAUUCCGAGAUUCAUUUCUUACUAAUGGCCUUUUGACGUAU